AAACCAGCACCUCAAGUGGUCGGGAUGAUUAUUGGGCCUAAAGCAUCCGUAGCCUGUUCUGUAAGUUUUCGGUUAAAUCUGUACGCUCAACGUACAGGCUGCUGGGAAUACUGCAGAACUAGGGAGUGGGAGAGAUAGACGGUACUCGGGAGGAAGUGGUAAAAUGCUUUGAUCUCUCGAUGACCACCUGUGGCGAAGGCGGUCUAUCAGAACACGUCCGACGGUGAGGGAUGAAAGCUGGGGGAGCAAACCGGAUUAGAAACCCCAGUAGUCC
Molecule: ribosomal RNA, 274 nt
Filed under: uncultured bacterium
Lineage: Bacteria
Description: partial 16S ribosomal RNA
Rfam family: Archaeal small subunit ribosomal RNA
Source: RNAcentral